CCUACGGGGCGCAGCAGUCGAGAAUCAUUCACAAUGGGGGAAACCCUGAUGGUGCGACGCCGCGUGGGGGAAUGAAGGUCUUCGGAUUGUAAACCCCUGUCAUGUGGGAGCAAAUUAAAAAGAUAGUACCACAAGAGGAAGAGAUGGCUAACUCUGUGCCAGCAGCCGCGGUAAUACAGAGGUCUCAAGCGUUGUUCGGAAUCACUGGGCGUAAAGCGUGCGUAGGCUGUUUCGUAAGUCGUGUGUGAAAGGCGCGGGCUCAACCCGCGGACGGCACAUGAUACUGCGAGACUAGAGUAAUGGAGGGGGAACCGGAAUUCUCGGUGUAGCAGUGAAAUGCGGAGAUAUCGAGAGGAACACUCGUGGCGAAGGCGGGUUCCUGGACAUUAACUGACGCUGAGGCACGAAGGCCAGGGGAGCGAAAGGGAUUAGAUACCCCUGUAGUC
This 446-nucleotide ribosomal RNA is filed under the name uncultured bacterium. RNAcentral describes it as "partial 16S ribosomal RNA". It matches the Rfam family "Bacterial small subunit ribosomal RNA", at positions 338 to 795 of the family's 1533-position model. The record is from RNAcentral.